This 495-nucleotide ribosomal RNA is filed under the name uncultured bacterium. RNAcentral describes it as "bacterial SSU rRNA". It matches the Rfam family "Bacterial small subunit ribosomal RNA", at positions 29 to 518 of the family's 1533-position model. The record is from RNAcentral.
AUGAACGCUAGCGGCAGGCUUAACACAUGCAAGUCGAGGGCAUCGGGAGUAGCAAUACUUGCCGGCGACCGGCGCAAGGUGCGUAACGCGUGAGCAACAUGCCCGUAUCAGGGGGGAUAAUCCAUGGAAACGUGGUCUAAUACCCCAUAGUAAUUAUGUAAGGCAUCUUAUAUAAUUUAAAGCUUUGGUGGAUACGGAUUGGCUCGCGUGACAUUAGCUGGAUGGUAAGGUAACGGCUUACCAUGGCUACGAUGUCUAGGGGUUCUGAGAGGAAGGUCCCCCACACUGGAACUGAGACACGGUCCAGACUCCUACGGGAGGCAGCAGUGAGGAAUAUUGGACAAUGGAUGGAAAUCUGAUCCAGCCAUGCCGCGUGCAGGAAGAACCGGCCCUAUGGGUUGUAAACUGCUUUUGUAUGGGAGCAAUAAGGGCUACGUGUAGUCCGAUGAGAGUACCAUACGAAUAAGCACCGGCUAACUCCGUGCCAGCAGCAGC